Molecule: long non-coding RNA, 806 nt
Organism: Gallus gallus (chicken)
Lineage: Eukaryota; Metazoa; Chordata; Aves; Galliformes; Phasianidae
Source: Ensembl
CAAUAAGUGAGGCUUCCUUGGAUCAAGAAAGAUUGAUAAAAGCAGGCUGGGGAUCAAAAGGAAAUAUUCAUUACAAAUUAAGCUUCAUACAGAAUUUAAAAGUGUCUCUUACAACCCAAUGCCAUUAGGCAUUCCUUUGCCUAAUGUCUGGCAUAACUGGCAUCUUCAAGAACCAUCAGGCUAUAAGGAAAUAAUCCAUCAUAUUAUAAAAAGGCUGAAUCUGCAGAGCUCCUUCAAGCACUGGUGUUGUAAGCUCCUAUGAUGUUAUCAGGAGACUUGUGAUACUUGCUGUCCUGCUGAAAGCCUCAUUGCAGCAUGGAAAAUUGCAGAGAACCCCAAUCCAGACUAAACAAACCAAACUUGUGCUUCAGGAUGGGAAGAAAACUCACAGUAUAAGGAAGAAAAACUGCAGAUUAAGCUUGGCUGGCCCCUCGUUGGAUCCUUGUUCUGCAUCUUGAUUAUAACAAUUUGAUUUUGAAAGUUGAAGUGGCAGAAAAGGAUGCCCAAAUUGACACAGUCGGGAUCAGCAUGAUGCCCUUCCUCUUCUGAGCAGCUGCUCUCAGAUACUUUCAUUCAUUUGGACUCCUCUGGAUGUGGUUGAAGAACUGAGGCAUAAGAGAUGCCAGGUGUCCAGGACUAUCCACCACAUGGCUCUCGGGAAGAACUAGCAUAAAUGAUCCUGCAGGAAGGAUAUUAAUCACAGUAAACAGAGUUAAAACCAGAACCCAGGCAGACCAGACUUUUGUUUACCCAAAAGGAUGAGAGAUCUCUGUGUACAUAGCACUGCACAUCUGUGCAUACCCAGU